UCCAAUCUCAAACGGCUAUACAACGGUCAUAUAUAUUUGUCGGCAACGGUCACAUGGUUCGUCGGAAAUUCGUCGGAAAAUUCCGACGGAAUACCGACGACUGUACUGUUAAUCGGAAUGUCGUCGGAAGUUCGUCGGUAUAUUCCGACGACUUCAAAUUUUUGGUUUUCGUCGGAAAUUGGUCAGUAAUCCGUCACAAACGUCCGACGACAUUGAGGUCCGUCGGAAUCUCCGUCGGAAUUCGGCGUGUUUUCUUGUAGUGCAUUAAGUAUGAGGUAAGCAGUGAAACUAUAAAGUACUAGUUUAUUUGCAUGUGUAGUAGAUUGAUUUGGUUGUUAACGACUUGUUACAUGGACUUAAGAGCAGUAACCCACUUGCUUACAAGUGGUAUAACCCACUUGGUUCAUCUCUUCUUCUUUGGUGAUGUUUAUAGUGUGUCAAUGCUACUUGUAGCUUCUCCACUCCCAUUUUUAAUGCAAGACGUGGCUCACGUCUCAACUUGACUUGAAAGGAUAAAGGCAAUCUGCAGAAGAUGUCAGAGACAGAUGGAUUCAUUUGAGAAGCAGUUUGUGAACAUGGAGGUCCAAGCUGAGUUCAUGGAGAACGCCAUGGCUGGUUCAACAUCAUUGUCCACUCCCGAAGGCGAUGUCAACCACCUAAUGCAGCAGGUUGGAGUUUUAAUGUUGAUAAAAAGAAAGGGAGAAGGUUACUUGCUUUGGAAUUGAAGUCUUCUCUGGAAGAGUUACGGAAAAAUGUUAUAGAGGAUUUUGGUUUUGAAGAAACAGAUGCUGAUUUGGAGUUGAGUUACCUUCCUAUUAGAUUGAUCAAUUCAUCAAAAUGUCCACCAGUGAUCAUUGGAAACUCAAGGCAAGUUCAAAAUUUUCUAGGGUUUUGUAAGAAGCAUCAGUCAACUCAAUUGUGUGUCAGCUAUAAAGCAAAGCAAGAAAAUCCAAAUAAAAUCGACAUUGAUCUUAAUAAGAUGCCAACUGAUGCAAGUACUUGUGAAGAGAACGAGCGAAAUCCUUGUGACAUUGGGACCGCUUCAAAUAUUGUUAAGGGGGCUAAGCAUAACGAGAAGAGGAAAGGGAAGAUGAAGCAAAGUGAAGUUGAUGGAGAUGAUUAUGAUGCUGACAAGCAUAACGAGAAGAAGAAAGGAAAGAUAAGCAAGACGAGUCCAGACCAGUGACAGCAUGAUACUCUUGCAAUCCAAAACGCAGAGGUCUCCUAGCGAAAGUGAACCACUUCUCAUGUCUCUUGCUUGUCAUCAACUCCUUACACAAGAAAGAGUGUACCAACCUCGCCGAAAACUUCAGAUCAUUCUUCUGGAUAACCAUAAUCUGUGAAAAAAUGGGAUCUUUCAUAACUUCAUCGAAUUCUGGCUCCAUUUUUUCUUUCAGCAACUCGAGAAGUUUUAGUCGGCAGCUGUUAUUAAUCUUCUUAACCUGAGGUUCCAAUC
RNA transcript from Brassica napus (rape), 1456 nucleotides. RefSeq lists it as uncharacterized. Lineage: Eukaryota; Viridiplantae; Streptophyta; Magnoliopsida; Brassicales; Brassicaceae. The transcript has 4 exons. The record is from RefSeq and is a predicted model, not a curated record.